Molecule: ribosomal RNA, 482 nt
Filed under: uncultured bacterium
Lineage: Bacteria
Description: partial 16S ribosomal RNA
Rfam family: Bacterial small subunit ribosomal RNA
Source: RNAcentral
AUUGAACGCUGGCGGCAUGCCUUACACAUGCAAGUCGAACGGUAACGGGCCUUCGGGUGCCGACGAGUGGCGAACGGGUGAGUAAUACAUCGGAACGUGCCCGAUCGUGGGGGAUAACGAGGCGAAAGCUUUGCUAAUACCGCAUACGAUCUACGGAUGAAAGCAGGGGACCGCAAGGCCUUGCGCGGACGGAGCGGCCGAUGGCAGAUUAGGUAGUUGGUGGGAUAAAAGCUUACCAAGCCGACGAUCUGUAGCUGGUCCGAGAGGAUGAUCAGCCACACUGGGACUGAGACACGGCCCAGACUCCUACGGGAGGCAGCAGUGGGGAAUUUUGGACAAUGGGCGCAAGCCUGAUCCAGCCAUGCCGCGUGCAGGAUGAAGGCCUUCGGGCUGUAAACUGCUUUUGUACGGAACGAAAAGCCUUCUUUUAAUACAGGAGGGUCAUGACGGUACCGUAAGAAUAAGCACCGGCUAACUACGUG